UCUACGGGUGGCAGCAGUGAGGAAUAUUGGUCAAUGGACGCAAGUCUGAACCAGCCAUGCCGCGUGCAGGAAGACGGCUCUAUGAGUUGUAAACUGCUUUUGUACGGGGGUAAACGCAGAUACGCGUAUCUUUCUGAACGUAUCUUACGAAUAAGGAUCGGCUAACUCCGUGCCAGCAGCCGCGGUAAUACGGAGGAGUCAAGCGUUAUCCGGAUUUAUUUGGUUUAAAGGGUGCGUAGGCGGUCGGGUAAGUUAGAGGUGAAAUCCCGAGGCUCAACUUCGGAAUUGCCUCUGAUACUGUUAGGCUAGAGAGUAGUUGCGGUAGGCGGAAUGUAUGGUGUAGCGGUGAAAUGCUUAGAGAUCAUACAGAACACCGAUUGCGAAGGCAGCCUACCAAGCUACGUCUGACGUUGAGGCACGAAAGCGUGGGGAGCAAACAGGAUUAGAUACCCGGGUAGUC
Molecule: ribosomal RNA, 460 nt
Filed under: uncultured bacterium
Lineage: Bacteria
Description: partial 16S ribosomal RNA
Rfam family: Bacterial small subunit ribosomal RNA
Source: RNAcentral